This 494-nucleotide ribosomal RNA is filed under the name uncultured bacterium. RNAcentral's name for it is "partial 16S ribosomal RNA". It matches the Rfam family "Bacterial small subunit ribosomal RNA", at positions 29 to 523 of the family's 1533-position model. The record is from RNAcentral.
AUGAACGCUAGCGGGAGGCCUAACACAUGCAAGCCGAGCGGUAGAGAUCUUUCGGGAUCUUGAGAGCGGCGUACGGGUGCGGAACACGUGUGCAACCUGCCUUUAUCUGGGAGAUAGCCUUUCGAAAGGAAGAUUAAUACCCCAUAAUAUAUGAUUCGGCAUCGGAUUCUAUUGAAAGCUCCGGCGGAUGGAGAUGGGCACGCGCAAGAUUAGGUAGGUGGUGAGGUAACGCCUCACCAAGUCAGUGAUCUUUAGGGGGCCGGAGAGGGUGGUCCCCCACACUGGUACUGAGGCACGGACCAGACUCCUACGGGAGGCAGCAGUGAGGAAUAUUGGACAAUGGGUGAAAGCCUGAUCCAGCCAUCCCGCGUGAAGGACGACGGCCCUAUGGGUUGUAAACUUCUUUUGUAUAGGGAUAAACCUACCCUCGUGAGGGUAGCUGAAGGUACUAUACGAAUAAGCACCGGCUAACUCCGUGCCAGCCGCCGCCGUAA